RNAcentral lists this long non-coding RNA (279 nucleotides) under Medicago truncatula (barrel medic). RNAcentral's name for it is "long non-coding RNA (MTRU_LNC000081)". The record is from RNAcentral. Lineage: Eukaryota; Viridiplantae; Streptophyta; Magnoliopsida; Fabales; Fabaceae.
CUGAACUGAACCCCAUCUACAUGCAAUUCCUUGAGUCCAAUGUGACGGCUGUGAUGCGGCGGUUUUGCUGGUGGUCGAUGUGGCGGAUUGGACAUGGGUCGGAGCUGAUUCUUCUCAACAUAAGUACUCAAGUUCUGCAGUUUGAGUCGAGCCAGAACGCUGCUUCGGUCUGGUGGUUUCCUCAAACUAUUGACUUCAGCCAUUAAAGAGUUAAUCUUUUCAGUAUCUUCAAUUAUAACAGGAGUCUCUUUAAUAAUUGGAGGUGCUUCUUGAAUGGCC